RNAcentral lists this ribosomal RNA (484 nucleotides) under uncultured bacterium. Its description in RNAcentral is "partial 16S ribosomal RNA". It matches the Rfam family "Bacterial small subunit ribosomal RNA", at positions 30 to 507 of the family's 1533-position model. The record is from RNAcentral.
AUUGAACGCUGGCGGCAGGCCUAACACAUGCAAGUCGAGCGGAUGAAGGGAGCUUGCUCCUGGAUUCAGCGGCGGACGGGUGAGUAAUGCCUAGGAAUCUGCCUGGUAGUGGGGGAUAACGUCCGGAAACGGGCGCUAAUACCGCCUACGUCCUGAGGGAGAAAGUGGGUGAUCUUCGGACCUCACGCUAUCAGAUGAGCCUAGGUCGGAUUAGCUAGUUGGUGGGGUAAAGGCCUACCAAGGCGACGAUCCGUAACUGGUCUGAGAGGAUGAUCAGUCACACUGGAACUGAGACACGGUCCAGACUCCUACGGGAGGCAGCAGUGGGGAAUAUUGGACAAUGGGCGAAAGCCUGAUCCAGCCAUGCCGCGUGUGUGAAGAAGGUCUUCGGAUUGUAAAGCACUUUAAGUUGGGAGGAAGGGCAGUAAGUUAAUACCUUGCUGUUUUGACGUUACCAACAGAAUAAGCACCGGCUAACUUCGUG